GACGAACGCUGGCGGCGUGCUUAACACAUGCAAGUCGAACGGACAGGCCCUGAUUUUGUGGGGUGCUCGAGUGGCGAACGGGUGAGUAACACGUGAGUAACCUGCCCUUGACUUUGUGAUAACUUCAGGAAACUGGGGCUAAUACCGGAUAGGAGCUCUUGCUGCAUGGUGGGGGUUGGAAAGUUUCGGCGGUUGGGGAUGGACUCGCGGCUUAUCAGCUUGUUGGUGGGGUAGUGGCUUACCAAGGCUUUGACGGGUAGCCGGCCUGAGAGGGUGACCGGCGACAUUGGGACUGAGAGACGGAGCAGACUCCUACGGGAGGCAGCAGUGGGGAACACUGCACAAUGGGCGGAAGCCUGAUGCAGCAACGCCGCGUGCGGGAUGACGGCCUUCGGGUUGUAAACCGCUUUCGCCUGUGACGAAGCGUGAGUGACGGUAAUGGGUAAAGAAGCACCGGCUAACUACGUG
RNAcentral lists this ribosomal RNA (468 nucleotides) under uncultured bacterium. RNAcentral's name for it is "partial 16S ribosomal RNA". It matches the Rfam family "Bacterial small subunit ribosomal RNA", at positions 28 to 507 of the family's 1533-position model. The record is from RNAcentral.